AACGGACGCUGGCGGCAGGCCUAACACAUGCAAGUCGAGCGAGGACUUCGGUCCUAGCGGCGGACGGGUGAGUAACGCGUGGGAACGUGCCCUUUGCUUCGGAAUAGCCCUGGGAAACUGGGAGUAAUACCGGAUGAGCCCUUUGGGGGAAAGAUUUAUCGGCGAAGGAUCGGCCCGCGUUGGAUUAGGUAGUUGGUGGGGUAAUGGCCUACCAAGCCGACGAUCCAUAGCUGGUUUGAGAGGAUGAUCAGCCACACUGGGACUGAGACACGGCCCAGACUCCUACGGGAGGCAGCAGUGGGGAAUCUUAGACAAUGGGGGAAACCCUGAUCUAGCCAUGCCGCGUGAGCGAUGAAGGCCUUAGGGUUGUAAAGCUCUUUCAGCUGGGAAGAUAAUGACGGUACCAGCAGAAGAAGCCCCGGCUAACUCCGUG
Molecule: ribosomal RNA, 433 nt
Filed under: uncultured bacterium
Lineage: Bacteria
Description: partial 16S ribosomal RNA
Rfam family: Bacterial small subunit ribosomal RNA
Source: RNAcentral